Cinara cedri is the source of this 217-nucleotide non-coding RNA. The record is from the annotation of a GenBank genome assembly. NCBI's taxonomy places the organism in Eukaryota, Metazoa, Arthropoda, Insecta, Hemiptera, Aphididae.
ACUAGAUAACCAACUCUAUAUAUAGUGUAAAUGAGUAAGCCCGGAGCUUAUACGGCGACCGUCACGUUAUACCGAGAGUACCAAUAAAUAAAUUAACAGUAGAUCCUUAACGAUUUUCGUUUGUGCCACGGAUAUUACGCGAUACUCUGAUGAGUACUAAAAAUGAUGGGCAAAUCGUUUCCAUCGCGUCGUAACACAAUAAUUUUCAUGGCGCAAA